Hippocampus comes (tiger tail seahorse) is the source of this 1674-nucleotide long non-coding RNA. RefSeq lists it as uncharacterized. The record is from RefSeq and is a predicted model, not a curated record. The transcript has 2 exons. NCBI's taxonomy places the organism in Eukaryota, Metazoa, Chordata, Actinopteri, Syngnathiformes, Syngnathidae.
CUUUUGGUUGUGUGGUUGUGCAGGAGCUGUCUGUCAUGCAUUGAACCAGCGAUCAGCACCAAGCAUCUUUCCUACCAGAGCUUCCAGCUGUUUGGAUUCGACUUCAUGGUGGACGUGAACUUCAAAGUGUGGCUCAUUGAGAUCAACGGAGCACCAGCCUGUGCACAGAAGCUGUACCCUGAGCUGUGUCAAGGCAUUGUGGAUGUAGCCAUUUCCAGUGUCUUUACCCUGAACAAUAGUGGUGACUGUUCGUCUUCGCCUUAUUCUUCCUCUCCAUCCUCCCUGUUCUCGACCAACGCUUGCUCCUCACCUAAACUGAGAGGGCCGCUUCACAUUGGCCCUUUUACUCGACUUUAAGCACAAGGCCAAUCACCCUCCCUUGUCCUCUCUGCUGAAGGAGAAGCAAAGGCCAUCAAAUUGUAAUGUCAGCAUUUAUUGUCCCUCGUCUUUCACGCACGUGUGUAUUCGAUCUGCAGAUGGCGUACUCUUUGUUGAUUUGAAAAGCAAAACAAAAUGAAAAGGUACCAACCAUUCUGUGAAUGUCCUUUACAGCCAAGAAUUCUUACUUUGCCCCCCCCGACAGAUAGUUAGGAGUCUUGAGAAAGUGUAGAUGCUCAAGAUUAAACUUGUGCCUUACAUCUCCAGCCAUGAAACUGCCAACGUAACAACCAGCCAAUUUCUGUGUUGGGAGGUGCACGUUGGCAAUACAUUCAGCAGAGGGAGCUAGUGAGCAAGGAGGAGAUCCAGGUUACUGCAACUUUAUACAGUGAACUACUCACACUGGUUCCAGUUAUAUUGAACUGCGUCAUUAUCUCACCAACCAAGUACUGAUUUUUUUUUUGUUCCUUUAGACAUAUUAGUUAUUAGCCUGAAUAUAACAUUGUUGAUUUACUAUUCCUAAUCUAUUUUAGUCUUCAAUGUUUGCUUCUGGUAUAUUCUUAGUUGUUAUUGUUUGUCAUAGGUCAACAAUUUAUUUAAUUUUUACUCACUCUUUUCGUUUAUUCUACAGAAUGGAGAUUGGGCCUGUGGGCACCUUAAUCCAGAAUAUCUGGAUUAGUCAUGGAAGCCACUGUGUUUCAGAUUUAUUUAUGAAUAACAAAAUAUAAGUAAUCCCGUGUUCAUUAGAACGGACCCGUUGUAGCCGAAAAGAUGAAAGAUGAAAAAGAUGUUGUGUAAUUACAGAUAGGCUUUUCAUAUUAUUUUGCUGACAAGUUGGUAAAUAAUAUAAAUGCAGAUUUUUUGUAUGUUCUGUUUUAGCAAAAAUGUUGAUUGCUUUCCCCAAACCCCCCGAGGGCAAAAGGUGUCUGAGAGGGGAUUUUGUGUGUGUGUGCGUGUGUGUGUAUUUUCUUUUAACUAACAUUUGUGUCUCCUUAAAUUGGUCUGUAUUUCUUUGUCACCAAAACCUUACAUUUAAAUGUUAUUUUUUUUUUUGUACAUCAUGAUUUCAUGUUUGUUUCACUGUUUUAUAUAUCUUCAUCCCAACCAAAGAUGAAAUGCUGUAUGUUAAAUAGAUUCUCAAGUCGUGUGCUUCAAUCUGAAUAAGUCAAUGAGCUGAUCUGAAAUUGAGCGUCAUCGAAGGAUGUGGUGUUGUGUUUUCGUUUGCUGGUGUGAUUUUUCAAAUGUUGCAUGGUCGUGUGUCAAACUGUAUUACAGAAUAAAAACAUGAAUCCCCCG